Molecule: long non-coding RNA, 683 nt
Organism: Cyprinus carpio (common carp)
Lineage: Eukaryota; Metazoa; Chordata; Actinopteri; Cypriniformes; Cyprinidae
Exons: 3
Source: RefSeq, a predicted model, not a curated record
AAUGUUCCUUCCCCUCGCUUGGGCCCCAAGUGCAUAUGGGUCCCUGUGCCUGUGUCCAUAAAACCCAUUGGAUAAUCCAGAACAGCUCAGACGUUAUUCUGAACACAUCAGCUCUGAGAUCUUCAAGCUCCACAGAACUUCUACAGAUUCUUUCUGUCAUUGUGAAGAAACAUCUUGAAGAAUGAGAAGCCUGAUGUGUGUGCUGUUCCUGCUGAUCUUCUGCACUAAGCAGGGGACUUCUUCGGGGCCUCAUCAUGCUGAAGUUCCUCUGAGAUGUUGCUUUAAUUUUAUUGACUUUCAAAUUCCAACCCAAAUGAUUGUCAGUGCUGUGAAGACAGGUUCACAUUGCCCUGCUCCUGGCAUUGUGGUUACGACACCUAGAACUGAAUUUUGUGUGAGACCAGACGAGUCUUGGAUAAAGAGCUUCAUGGAGAGGCAGCUUUGAAAAUGAAAACACAAUACAUAUGCACAAAAUAAUACUGUUAAUGAUUUAAACAACUGUAAUCCCUUCUUAAUUUUGUAUUUUUUAUUUUUUUUUGGCUGUAUCUCAUCAAUGUUACAAGAUUUGUAAAAAAAAAAAAAAAAAAAACCUGCUAAAUGCUGAACCUGUUCACAUUUAGCACUCAAUAUGCUGACAUGUGCAGGAUGAUGAUACAAAUGAAUAUUAAAAUGCUUGGAUAUUA